UUCAGCAGCUCAGUGACAAGGCAGGGACCACUGUUUGGAACAGGACUGUGAAACUAUCCCAGAGGCCGGAGAAACUGUAAUGAGCUGUAAAAUGAAGACUGCCCACCCACCCCCAACACAGCAGCACAGACACUCAAGGGAGAGAACAGGGUUUAUAUCAAAGUCUAGCUUAUUACAGAAUGUUGUGGAAGAACGUGUUGAAAAUGGGAGAUGGUCACUGACUCACCUCACGGCUGGCUGCAGGACUGAAGGGGUGAAGAGGCAACCAGUGCUGAACAAAACAUCUGCAGUCUUCUGUGCUGAGGGGGGACCAUGUGCGAAGCUUCGUAGUGAGUGUUGGCUGUGCAGCCGGUCACUUAACUCACUCAAGCAUGUGGUGCAACUGGAGAGCAGCUGCAGCCAGCUGUUGGUCUGAAGCAAUACGACCUUACAACAUACCCAAGUUCCUGACUGGAGGUGUCGCAACUUCUGGAACUGUCGCCUGAACCCAUGCGCCGCCUUUUUGGAGCUUGACUGCCAUCAUUGGAAA
Long non-coding RNA from Oncorhynchus kisutch (coho salmon), 529 nucleotides. RefSeq lists it as uncharacterized. The record is from RefSeq and is a predicted model, not a curated record. The transcript has 3 exons. NCBI's taxonomy places the organism in Eukaryota, Metazoa, Chordata, Actinopteri, Salmoniformes, Salmonidae.